Molecule: ribosomal RNA, 253 nt
Filed under: uncultured bacterium
Lineage: Bacteria
Description: partial 16S ribosomal RNA
Rfam family: Bacterial small subunit ribosomal RNA
Source: RNAcentral
CACGUAGGGGCCGAGCGUUGUCCGGAGUUACUGGGCGUAAAGGGCGCGCAGGCGGUCGCGUGGGCCUGGCGUGAAAGCCCCCGGCUCAACCGGGGAGGGUCGUCGGGGACCGCGCGACUUGAGGGCGGGAGGGGCCGGUGGAAUCCCCGGUGUAGUGGUGAAAUGCGUAGAGAUCGGGGGGAACACCCGUGGCGAAGGCGGCCGGCUGGGCCGACCCUGACGCUGAGGCGCGAAGGCGUGGGGAGCGAACGGG